This 642-nucleotide long non-coding RNA is filed under the name Mytilus galloprovincialis (Mediterranean mussel). The record is from RNAcentral. Lineage: Eukaryota; Metazoa; Mollusca; Bivalvia; Mytilida; Mytilidae.
AUUCAGCCUCAUAUGAAAUAUGAAACAAAACUGAAAGAAAAGGAGCACAGUUGCGAAUACAGAUUUUUUGUUGAAAUACACGUUCUGCAAACGUAACAAACAAGUUUUCAAACAAGAAAUCAUGUAUCUUGAUAAUGUCUGUUUAAAUCAUAGACAUUUUGUACAAUAUACGAUUCUUCCGUCCCUAAAAGGCAUGUAUAUAAAUUAACAUAAACACUGUUAGAUAGUAGGUUUUUUGCAGUUUUUUUUCUUUUCUCCUUCCAACUUCUGAAAAGAACAACUAAUUUGAUCUUUUUCGUUUGUUUUAUUCUAAUUGCUAUAUAAAUUACACCGACUGGUUAUAAUACAUAGGUACCAUCCAAUAUAAAGUUAAGCACACCAGUUUUCAUUUGAUUAAGUUGAUGCUAUUAUUGCAUCAUGUUUCCAAAAAAGGGACUAUUUAAUUACACUCGUUUGAAUAACAAAUGUUGUUUUAGGCAUUUAGAUCAAUUUAAUUAAGGUCUUUCCUUUUACUAAAGGGAAAGACCUUACUGUAUUUCUUCUGAUUAUUAUUAUUAUUCUUUUUGUUCCGCCAAACUUUGACAAAAUUUCCCUCCGUAACCGUAAACCAUGUCGCUUUCAUGUUCACACUUUGUAUUGGUG